Long non-coding RNA from Piliocolobus tephrosceles (Ugandan red Colobus), 1981 nucleotides. RefSeq lists it as uncharacterized. The record is from RefSeq and is a predicted model, not a curated record. NCBI's taxonomy places the organism in Eukaryota, Metazoa, Chordata, Mammalia, Primates, Cercopithecidae. The transcript has 3 exons.
GCGAGUUGGCGGCGCCUGCAGUCCCAGCUACUUUGGAGGCUGAGGCAGGAGAAUGGCGUGAACCCAGGGGGCGGAGCUUGCAGUGAGCCAAGAUCUCACCACUGCACUCCAGCCUGGGCGACAUAAAUACCUCCUUAAUGGGACAGAAUCAAGAAAAACGGGCAAUCUCUAGAGCAGAUCUCAAAGAACUUAGACCUCAGAUGCAAACACUAUCAUUCUCUGAAACAAAGGAAUAAGGAUGUGGAGAAAGGCUUUGUUAAGAGAGAUGACCAGGAAAAGCAAAACACAAGCAAAGUUUGUUAUGUAUACUUAAGUCAAUUCCUUCUCCUUUUAUUGAGUCUUCAGUGAUGUAGUUAUUCUCUUCCUGGUGCAGAAGGAGAGGGAGAGAAAGAGAGCGAAAGAGAAACCCUUGAAAACGUCUAUAAAUUUCCUUUAUAGAUGUAAAUUUAUCUUACAAAAGGGCAACUUCCAGCCUUGUUUUCAGUACUCUUUCUGUGUCUGCAGUUUCUCAAAAUAUCUAGCUCAAAAUACUCCUAAGCCAGAGAGGCAUAGUUCCGGUGACAUAGUCUGAUUGCAGCCUUAUUUUGGGGUGACAUGUUCUGAAUCCUGUAAGAAAUUAAAGCAAUCUAUAUUUUUGGUGAUAUAUUUUCAAAAUUUCAUGUGUAUUUUUUAAUUCUAUAUAAUCACCAUUAUUUCAAUAUUUUAUUAAAUAUAUUAAUAAUACUGUGGUGACAGUGUUAUUCAGCACGUCUACAAUGGAAAAAUUAUAUAUAUAUAUUUGGGGAAAAAUAUAUGUGAUUUAACAAGGGCUUUAUUUCCCUAACCUCAAAUUAUUUGGGGCAAUUUCCAGAUGUGUGGUAUGAAAUCAUGGAGCAAAUAUUUGACAUUAAUGUAAUUAAUUUCAUAUUUCACUUAAGGCUUAUUAAAACAGCUGUUAUAUAACAAUUUAAACAAAUGUUCAAAAAUUUUAAUUGCACAAAAUGAUUUUAGCUUUUUUUUUCAAAUCUGAGACAUUCUGAUAUGAUGUACAGUACCAAACAUUGAUCAAAAGCUAAAAAUAUCUCCAGGCAUAGUUGUUAUAUAUAAAUAUGUGUGUGUGUGUGAUAUAUAUAUACACACACAUAUACAUAUACAUAUAUAUAUUUCUCCCCUAGGGUUAUGGUGGCUAUAUUGCAUCAAUGAUCUUAAAAUCAGAUGAAAAGCUUUUUAAAUGUGGAUCAGUGGUUGCACCUAUCACAGACUUGAAAUUGUAUGCCUGAGCUUUCUCUGAAAGAUACCUUGGGAUGCCAUCCAAGGAAGAAAGCACUUACCAGGCAGCCAGUGUGCUACAUAAUAUUCAUGGCUUGAAAGAAGAAAAUAUAUUAAUAAUUCAUGGAACCGCUGACAGUAAGUAUUAUACUUGCUGCUGUUGUUUAAUAGGGUAUGACCUUUUACAAAGGGAUACAUCUAAGUACUUGCUUACAGGAAGCCCUGUAAACCUUCUGAAGAAGGGAGCAGAGAGUCACACAAGCAAUCAGAUACAUGCUUGGAGGUAGGAAAAAAGAAUUCAGAGAUGAGAGGAGGCUGUGCCUCUAAUGGCACCAUUGUCCAGUCAAAUUCCCUGUAAUGAUGGAAAUACUUUAUCAGUGCUGCUGAAGAGUAGCCACCAGCCACUUGUGGCCAUACUGUGUUUAGUGUGACUGAGGAACUGAAUUGAUUUUAUUUAAUUUUAAUUUAAAAAGGCACUUGUGUCUAACGACUGUGGUGACAGUGUUAUUCAGCACAUCUACAAUGGAAACCAACCUGGAAAACAGAAACCAAAAACAUGCACGCACUGACAUGAAAUUCUAAUGAGGUUACCCGCUUAAAUGAACUUAAAACAAAAACUUUAAAAAGGCACUUUUCUACCAUCUCUCAUGUUUUCAUCACUUUAAACCUUGGAGGUGGAUGUGAUUGAUGUUAGUAGCAAUAAAUCAUAUCACUUUAUAUUUACAUGACACUC